This 442-nucleotide ribosomal RNA is filed under the name uncultured bacterium. RNAcentral describes it as "partial 16S ribosomal RNA". It matches the Rfam family "Bacterial small subunit ribosomal RNA", at positions 338 to 795 of the family's 1533-position model. The record is from RNAcentral.
CCUACGGGAGGCAGCAGUGGGGAAUAUUGGGCAAUGGGCGCUAGCCUGACCCAGCAAAGUAGCGUGAAGGAAGAAGGCUCUCGGGUUGUAAACCUCUUUUUAGAGGGAAGUGCAGAAGACGGUACCUCUUGAAUAAGCCACGGCUAACUACGUGCCAGCAGCCGCGGUCAUACGUAGGUGGCCAGCAUUAUCCGGAUUUACUGGGUUUAACGGGCGUGUAGCCGGACUGGCAAGUCAGAUGUGAAAUUUCGGGGCUCAACCGCGGACUUGCAGUUGACACUGUCAGUCUUGAGUAUCGGAGAGGCGGGCGGAAUUCGUGGUGUAGCGGUGAAAUGCGUAGAUAUUAGGAGGAACACCAGUGGCGAAGGCGGCCUGCUGGACGACAACUGACGGUGAGGCGCGAAAGCGUGGGGAGCAAACAGGAUUAGAUACCCUGGUAGUC